GAUGAAGAACGUAGCGAAAUGCGAUAAGUAAUGUGAAUUGCAGAAUUCAGUGAGUCAUCGAAUCUUUGAACGCACAUUGCGCCCGCCAGUAUUCUGGCGGGCAUGCCUGUUCGAGCGUCAUUUCAACCAUCAAGCCCCAGGCUUGUGUUGGGGACCUGCGGCUGCCGCAGGCCCUGAAAACCAGUGGCGGGCUCGCUGUCACACCGGGCGUAGUAGAUUUUAUCUCGCUCAGGGCGUGCUGCGGGUUCCGGCCGUUAAAAAGCCUUUUUUACCCAAGGUUGACCUCGGAUCAGGUAGGAAGACCCGCUGAACUUAAGCAUAUCAAUAAGCGGAGGA
Molecule: unclassified non-coding RNA, 336 nt
Filed under: soil metagenome
Description: partial contains 5.8S ribosomal RNA, internal transcribed spacer 2, and large subunit ribosomal RNA
Rfam family: 5.8S ribosomal RNA (bases 1-120)
Source: RNAcentral